Molecule: unclassified non-coding RNA, 133 nt
Filed under: soil metagenome
Description: partial internal transcribed spacer 1
Source: RNAcentral
UUGAUAAUAUAGUUUAUACUAUCAUUAAUUAUGUGCACUGUUACCGCCAAUUGGCGGCCGUAAGGUCGUCAAUUGGCCCCAAUUAAAAUAUUUAUUAAUAACUUUUUAUACCAGUAAUCAUAUAAACUUAUGA